CAGUCACGCUGCCUAAAAAGCGCGUGGCCAAUCAUACUAGCGCACGAUUUCAACCGGUAGCAGAUAGUUCUUACGAAUCCUCGUCAAACUCAGUUCACUUAACUCUACGUUCCCUCUCCCUCACUCCCAAAAUGACUCCCCUCUUCCUCCUACUACUCCUCUCCUCCGCCUUCAUCUCCACCGCCACCACCGCAUACCCUUCCAUCCCCGGGACGGAUUCCACCACCGACUGCGGCCUCUCGGGAGGAGACGAGAAUCUGAUUCCCAUCCGUCGCGAAGUCUACGGUAAUGGCAGAAUAUUCGACAUCAGCCAUAGGUACACCGCCGACAUGCCGUCGUGGGAAUCCAAAGACGGCAUAGGACAGUUCCUUUGGUUGCCUAAAAGCAUGAAGAACGGUUCCCUAGCUAAUAAUUCCGAGAUGAAACUUCCCACUCACACCGGCACGCACCUCGACGCUCCCGGCCACGUCAUUGAUCGGUACUUCGAUGCCGGCUUCGAUGUGGACACUCUUGAUUUGGAAGUACUUAACGGUCCUGCACUGCUGGUAGAUGUUCCAAGGGACAAAAAUAUAACCGCUGAGGUUAUGGAGUCUUUGAAAAUACCCAAGGGAAUACGUAGAGUUCUUUUCAGAACAUUAAAUACCGACAGGCGGCUAAUGUUUAAGAAAGAGUUUGACACAAGCUAUGUGGGAUUUAUGAAGGAUGGGGCAGAAUGGUUGGUUAAAAACACUGACAUCAAAUUUGUUGGAAUUGAUUACUUAUCUGUUGCAGCCUUUGAUGAUCUGAUUCCAUCUCAUCUUGUUUUUCUAGAAGGCCGGGAUAUCAUUCUUGUGGAAGGCCUAAAACUUGAUGACAUCCUACCUGGGAUAUAUUCGGUUCAUUGCUUACCUUUAAGGUUGCUUGGUGCUGAAGGAUCGCCAACAAGAUGCAUUCUCAUCAAAUGAUAUAUAUUCCUUGCUUAACUUCUGCAAAUGCUACACGCUCAACUGCUUCUUAUGUUAGGGUAAAAUGAUAGCGCUAAGGGGUGUUGUUGAUCGGAAUAAGACAAAUAAAGAGUUGAUGAGUUUGAACUGAAGGCUGUUCCACACUUGUAGAGAGGAUGUAGUGCAGAAAUUUAGUUGCAUUGAAGUACACUUUUCUUGUAAUGCAUCUGUUUAGCUUUUUGAUUGAUGACAUUAGGAACAUACACUUAUUUGGUAGUGUUUCUGAAUAUCAUGGCUAGAUUUGGUCACUGCUUGCAAUUGUCGGCAAUGAUGUCUAUCAGUCUUCUUGACAUCCCGAAAUAAUUUUGACAGAUCCAUAAUUGGAAAAGCCAUCUCUAUGAAAGAUAAAUAUGUGUGUCAGUAUAUGGGUUGUGUUUA
This is a non-coding RNA of Theobroma cacao (cacao), 1361 nucleotides long. Lineage: Eukaryota; Viridiplantae; Streptophyta; Magnoliopsida; Malvales; Malvaceae. The record is from RefSeq and is a predicted model, not a curated record.